AAAGUCGGCAACACCUGAAGCCGUCGGGCUAACCGUUUGGAGGCAGACGUCGAGGGUGGGGUCGGUGAUUGGGGUGAAGUCGUAACAAGGUAGCCGUACCGGAAGGUGCGGCUGGAUCACCUCCUUU
Molecule: ribosomal RNA, 127 nt
Filed under: Ktedonobacteraceae bacterium
Lineage: Bacteria; Bacillati; Chloroflexota; Ktedonobacteria; Ktedonobacterales; Ktedonobacteraceae
Description: partial 16S ribosomal RNA
Rfam family: Bacterial small subunit ribosomal RNA
Source: RNAcentral